RNAcentral lists this ribosomal RNA (433 nucleotides) under uncultured bacterium. RNAcentral describes it as "partial 16S ribosomal RNA". It matches the Rfam family "Bacterial small subunit ribosomal RNA", at positions 29 to 507 of the family's 1533-position model. The record is from RNAcentral.
AACGAACGCUGGCGGCAUGCCUAACACAUGCAAGUCGAACGAGACCUUCGGGUCUAGUGGCGCACGGGUGCGUAACGCGUGGGAACCUGCCCUUAGGUUCGGAAUAACUCCCCGAAAGGGGUGCUAAUACCGGAUAAUGUCUUCGGACCAAAGAUUUAUCGCCUUUGGAUGGGCCCGCGUUGGAUUAGCUAGUUGGUAGGGUAAAAGCCUACCAAGGCGACGAUCCAUAGCUGGUCUGAGAGGAAGAUCAGCCACACUGGGACUGAGACACGGCCCAGACUCUUACGCGAGGCAGCAGUGGAGAAUACUAGACAAGGGGCCAAAGCCUGAACCAGCAAUGCCGCGUGAGUGAUGAAGGCCUUAGGGUUGUAAAGCGCUAUUACCCGGGAUGCUAAUGACAGUACCGGGAGAAUAAGCACCGGCUAACUCCGUG